UCUCUGCUCUGUGUGCUCACAGACAUCUGCAGACCUGCUGUCAGUGUGUUGUUUGCUCUCACAACAUCUCUGCUUCGCGCGCUCAACUCUCUGUACACCGUUAUAAGUGUGCCACAAAACCAACCAAUCACAGACUUGGAUGCAAAAAUUCUGAUUGGCUGUUUUGGUCUCCAAUCAGUUCGCUAGCUACUGUAGGCUAACCCAGGCAAAUAUCCCAGAAUGCAUUUCAUCGAAAACUUGAACAAGGCAGUUUCAGAGUGACGCAGAUUUAAAAUAUUACUCUUUCUGAAUCGCAAAAUAAACUUUUAAGAUAUUUUCAGGUGAGAAUGGUGCUGUUUAAACUUCAAAUAUCUACUCGAUUUAUCAAGACAUCACAUAUUUGCUCCAACGUUUUCCGAGAUGCCUGUUCUACUUCAGAGAUCACCUGCUGAUUAUUUCCCUGAAGCCUCCAUCGCUGCUGUCAGACGCAGAAGGCCAAAAGUGGAGGUGACUGGGGUCUAGCUGCACUAUAGUGUCAGAGUGUGUGAAGAUCAAAAAUCCAACAACAGCAGCAACAAGAAGAACAGAAGAAACUAUCAGACCAGCAAUCAGUCCAACAGAUCCAUCCUCCUUCUUCUCUUUGUCUUCAUCCUUCUCUUGUC
Oreochromis niloticus (Nile tilapia) is the source of this 641-nucleotide long non-coding RNA. RefSeq lists it as uncharacterized. The record is from RefSeq and is a predicted model, not a curated record. The transcript is spliced from 4 exons. NCBI's taxonomy places the organism in Eukaryota, Metazoa, Chordata, Actinopteri, Cichliformes, Cichlidae.